Long non-coding RNA from Equus asinus (donkey), 1912 nucleotides. Lineage: Eukaryota; Metazoa; Chordata; Mammalia; Perissodactyla; Equidae. The record is from Ensembl.
GAGGGCAAGGCUCCUUUCACUUCAGCUGCUAGAUGGAUCUUAGAAUAUUGUUUAAAGGUUUCCUGAAGUCUAGUGUCCUACUGAGUCAUCUUCAUUUUAUUCGCAACUUUGACUUUUUGUCCAAUCUCCCUUUAAGGGGAAGACUUCGGUAAUGGCCAUAUGUAUUUCAUUUCCUAGUUUGCUUGUCCUCUCAAGGCCAAUAUCUGAAUCAUGUGCAGCUGGGUUAUUUAAAUCCUUCCUUGGCUUUUCCCAUUCUCUUAAACAUUCCCCCACGUGAGGGGCUUAAAGUUGAGUGAACUCAUUGGUAUGGAUCUGGUCAUCCAGGAUGGUAACUAACUAACAAAAUCCAUAAUUCUGCAGAUUUCUUUUGUCUGUCUUCCUGAGGUUUUGGAAUCCUUAAUUAUAGCCCUUAACUUAAAUUUGACUUCCAGAUCAGCCUUUUAGCCGAGCAAUUUUGAGGGCAUACUGUGAAAUGUAACCCUUUCCUGAGAAAAACGCUGGGAACAGGUAGUUGACCUAGCAGGUCUGGGGAAGGAGAAGAAGGAGCAGGAGAGGUAUAAUUGGGUGUUGGAACAGUAAUAACCUCUGAGCAAAUCCAAGCACAGAAUAUCGUCAGCCCAGGACUGUUCAACCUGAGGCUAUUGCCAUAGAAGAAAUCACCGCGUACUACCACAAGCUGUUCCAGCCGGACCCCUCAGAUGUCGGGAGCCGUCACUUGUGUGUGGUUUCGGAGUAGGAAACAAAGACAGUUGGGAAGAUUCUUUUAGAACCUCAUCUGUUUUCUCCACGCUCACCUAGUACAAGACUCCUUCACCUCUCACGUGGACCACUGCCCCUCUGCCUGGACUCACGCUUCUACUCUGUGUCUUAUUAACACCAAGGAAAAGCAGCUCCUGGCAGGUGAGAGCUGGCUUGGCACUCCCAGCUGGGCCUUGGUGCUCUUCUGUUCAACAUAAACACAGCCUCGAACUCCAACAUCAGCCAAGGCCACUCUGUGACCCUGAUAGAUGACGACAAAAAGAAGACCACUCUGUGAUCAUGUCUGAACAGAGACAACAACAUAAACAAUGUCCAAACCACAAAAAUGACCAACGCGCCUUCCAUCCUGGCUGAAAAAUGUUACUCCUGCUUCUUUACCAAUCACAGUUUUAGCCUUCCUCUUUCUCCCACCUUCAAGAUGAGAUUUAUUAAGAAAUUCAGUCACAGUAUUCCCCCUGCUUCCUGAAUACAUUGAAUUCAGAGCAAACCCUACUCCUUGCAUCUUGUCCAGAAUCCCCUAACAUAAGCCCCAAUGCUGGCACUUCUAAGACCCUUUAGCUGAGAUGCUCCCACAGUUCCCCAUGAUGUCUUCUCCCUCACUGCAAGGAGGCAGUCAAGCCCUCUUGUUCAACCACAGGUGUAUUCCCAGUGGUCUUGGGCUGGAGGACACUGACAGUACCCAAAUCAGGUUAAGAUACUUUCUUACUCACCUCCUAUGACUCUCAAAGUCAAAAUCAAACCCUUACCCAACGUCUUCAUCCCUUGACGCUGCCCACCUCUCAGACCUCACUUAUUCACCCCCCCAGCAGCGUCAAGGAUCUGCAGUGAGCCAGGCACUUUCUUGGCACAGGAACAUUUCACACUGCUGUGUGAAGAAUGGAUUGGAGCAAGAGGCCAGGGCAGGGGGUAGGGAGACGGCUUACAAGGCUUGUUUAGUCCAGCGAGACGGUGGAGUGGAAUUGGAGAGGGAGAAGGGUAAAAUGCAAUGCCCAGCAUUAUGCUGAAUGAGCUCAGUCAGACUGAGAAAGAGAAAUACUAUACGAUCUCACUUAUAUACGGAAUCUAAAACAGCUCAACCCUGAGAAACAGAGAGUAGCGUGGUGGUUAUGCGGGGCUGAAGGGGUGGGGGAAAUGGGGAGAUGUUAGUCAACGG